RNAcentral lists this unclassified non-coding RNA (1070 nucleotides) under Hevea brasiliensis (rubber tree). Lineage: Eukaryota; Viridiplantae; Streptophyta; Magnoliopsida; Malpighiales; Euphorbiaceae. The record is from RNAcentral.
GUCUGCUUCAUCCACUUUUCCUUUUUUACCAAAAACAUGUCUCACUUCUUCUUGUGCUUUUUUCAUUGCUGUUUGAUUCUUCAUCAACUCUGCCAUUGCCCAUUCCGUAGUUCUUGAGGAAGUGUCACUUCCAGCAGCAAACACAUCCAAAAUGGUUCCUUUGAUGCAGUCGUUGGUUAAAGGGACUUCAAGGUUUCCAUUUUCCUGAAGAUUCAAUAGAACAUCUAGAAGAUUAUCAGCUUCGUUCAGAUCCCUGUUCUUGGAUACCUCCUUGCUGGCCCAGUGCUUUUUUAUAAUUUCUUCCAGAAUCUGGUCUAAUUCUCGAUGCCAAAUCUCGAAUCUAGACUUAUCCCCAGUAAUGUACUUAAGAAAUUUGAAGGAAGGGAACAUAUCAGCCAGACUGAACCCUGCCGAUGCCUCAAUUAAGUCGUCCAUAAUUCUCAAGAGAGCAUCUUGGCUUUUGCAUUUCUUACCAAUGGAGGUUCUUGCGAUCACGGUAUUGCUUAAAGCAAAAAGCAAAUGAGUAAGGUUCACUGGUGUUUCAGCCUUUGAAUGAAGGAACCCGACAAAAUUUAAUACCUCUUCUUCCCUGACUGCUUUGAAGGAUUGCACACGUUUGGCACUAAGAAGCUCCAAUGUGCAAAUUUUUCUUAGUUGUCUCCAUUGAUCUCCAUAAACUCCAACUAAAAUGUCAUUACCAUUAUAAGCCACCAUUUUUGUUGCGAGGACAAGGGGUCUAUUAGCGAACUGCACAUCUUGGAUUUUCAUCACUUCUUUGGCUGCUUCUGGCGAAGAAAUAACCAGUGCAGGAACUUGACCGAGUUGAAUACCCAUGACAGGUCCAUAAAUUNGUCCAUAAAUUCUAGUCAAGUCUCUUAGGCGGUUAUGGGGUAGAGCAGAGCCAGCCAGCUGGUGAAGGUUACCAAAGAGAGGUAACUUCCAAGGUCCUGGAGGAGGGGUAUAGUCGUUGUAUUUCUUCCAUAUCCUGAACGCCACGAAGAUGAAAAGGAGGAAGCUUACAAGCACUGGAAAAGAGAGGAUUUGUUGGUCCAUAUUUUGGCACACGAUUG